RNAcentral lists this ribosomal RNA (485 nucleotides) under uncultured bacterium. RNAcentral describes it as "bacterial SSU rRNA". It matches the Rfam family "Bacterial small subunit ribosomal RNA", at positions 1 to 507 of the family's 1533-position model. The record is from RNAcentral.
ACACGACUACGAGUUGAUCCUGGCUCAGAUUGAACGCUGGCGGCAUGCUUUACACAUGCAAGUCGAACGGUAACAGGCCUUCGGGUGCUGACGAGUGGCGAACGGGUGAGUAAUGCAUCGGAACGUGCCCAAUCGUGGGGGAUAACGUAGCGAAAGUUACGCUAAUACCGCAUAAGCCCUGAGGGGGAAAGCAGGGGAUCGCAAGACCUUGCGCGAAUGGAGCGGCCGAUGUCAGAUUAGCUAGCUGGUAAGGUAAAGGCUUACCAAGGCGACGAUCUUUAGCUGGUCUGAGAGGAUGGCCAGCCACAUCGGGACUGAGACACGGCCCGGACUCCUACGGGAGGCAGCAGUCGGGAAUAUUGGACAAUGGGCGCAAGCCUGAUCCAGCAAUACCGCGUGUGUGAAGAAGGCCUGCGGGUUGUAAAGCACUUUCAGUUGGGAAGAUAAUGACGUUACCAACAGAAGAAGCACCGGCUAACUCCGUG